AAAAGCUAUCUCAAGAGUGGUGGCUAUGGUCACCGAGCAACUGAAAACUUUGGGAUAGAUAGCCACCCCUUAGCCAAUGGAAUCAAGUCCAAGGUUAGAUGGUUAACCAUACAGCUGGAAUCAGACUUUAAAAUAUACCUUUGCCACCCCCCAGAAUCUUGUCCAUGAACAGCUUUGAAAAAGAUACUCUAUUUUGACACCAUUUGUGUAUUGAUCCAAGAUAUUCAUCCUCAAAGGGUGAGAAAAUUCUUAUUUUAAUAGGCCUUCUUUGUAUAAGUGAAGGGUUAUAGGCAUGGCUACUCUUAUCAGCAACUUCUGCUUUAGUGCUUUGUUCUUAUUGCUCUGUUCGCUUGUCCUUGCACUUGGGCAGAACUUGUUGAGCUGUGAAACUACAUCUUCUGAUGCUUCUGGCUACCGUUGUAAUGUUUAUGGAUCGCAGGAUCGGUGCAAGACAUUUGCCGUUGUUUCCACUAAUCCUUACUUCUCUUCUCUCUCCAAUUUGAGUUUUUAUUUGGGUUUAAAUCGGUUUGCAAUUGCUGCAGCAAAUGGUUUCUCUGCUGACACAGAGUUUCUUCCAAAAGAUCAGCCUCUGUUGAUACCAAUCGUUUGUAAAUGCAACGGUAGUUUCUUUCAGGCUGAAGUGACCAAAACAACCAUCAAGGGGGAGAGUUUUUAUGGCAUUGCUGAGUCCCUGGAGGGCUUGACGACCUGCAGAGCUAUCCAAGAGAAGAAUCUGGGCAUCUCACCUUGGAAUCUUGGUGAUAAAACUCGAUUAUUGGUACCACUUAGAUGUGCCUGUCCAUCGUCAUCUGGAGUUGGUCUAGCAACAAGAAUCUUGCUCUCUUAUCCUGUAAGUGAAGGUGAUACAAUCUCAAAUCUAGCCAUUAAGUUCAAUAUUACACCAGAAGCUAUUAUAUCUGCGAAUAAUAGAUCAUUAGCAAACUUUAAACCUGGAAGCCUUGCACCUCCUGCAUCUCUUUUGAUACCACUUAACAGUGAGCCUGCCCCUGGUCCCCUUGCAAAACCACGGGAACCCAAUCCACGUUUUCCCGAAAGAAGCAUCCCAGUAAUUAAUCCACAUAAGAAAAAGUCCAAGAUGUGGAUGGUAGGAAUUUAUAUUGCUGUUUCUGGGGUUGUAGUUGGAGCGAGCAUUGCCAUUGCAGCAGCCUUCUUGGUUAUCCAACUGAAGAAGAAGAAGCAGAAUUCGAACAAGGAUGGAGAUCCGGAGCUUCAACAGCUUAGUUUAAGUGUAAGAACCACGAGCGAGAAGAAAGUCUCAUUUGAUGGAUCCCAGGAAGGUCAGAUCAUUGAUACCACACCCCGUAGGGUGCUUGUGGAGACUUAUUCUGUAGAGGAGCUAAGAAAAGCAACUGAAGACUUCAGUUCAAGCAAUCUUAUUGAUGGCUCCGUAUACCAUGGUCGUCUAAAUGGGAAGAACUUGGCAAUAAAGCGCACGAAUUCAGAAUCUAUAUUGAAGAUUGAGUUCGGGCUUCUCCACAAUGCGACACGCCAUCAUCUGAACAUAAUUAGGCUGUUGGGGACAUGCUCAAGUGAUGGACCUGAUUCAUUUUUAGUGUUUGAAUAUGCUAAAAAUGGGUCUUUGAAGGAUUGGCUUCACGGUGGAUUGGCCAUGAAGAACCAGUUCAUAGCCUCCUGCUAUUGUUUCUUGACAUGGAAUCAGAGGCUGAAGAUAUGCCUUGACAUAGCAAUGGCCUUACAGUACAUGCAUCAUGUCAUGAACCCAAGCUAUGUUCAUAGAAAUGUAAAGAGUCGGAACAUCUUCUUAGAUGAAGAAUUUAAUGCAAAGAUUGGGAAUUUCGGCAUGGCAAGGUGUGUUGAUGACGAUGCAGAGGACCAAGAAUUCCAUUCUACUAAUCCUGCCUCAUGGAGUCUGGGGUACUUGGCUCCAGAGUAUAUUCAUCAAGGCAUAGUUUCUCCAAGCAUGGACAUAUUUGCUUUCGGGGUAGUCUUGCUGGAGGUGAUAUCAGGGAAAUCACCAAUAACAAGAUCUGACAACAAGGGGGAAGGAAGUAUUUGGCUCUCAGAGAAAAUCAAGUCCAUACUGUCAUCAGAAAAUGCAGAUGAGCUCAGGGAAUGGAUGGACAAAUCAUUGGGAGAAAAUUAUUCGUUCGAUACAGCUGUGACACUGGCCAAUCUUGCACGAUCAUGUGUGAAUGAAGAGCCUUGUUCAAGACCAAAAGCAGGAGAAAUUGUGGAGAAGUUAUCAAGGCUAGUGGAAGAAUCACCAGAAGGAGAGCAAAUUUUAAUCAGCGAAAGCUCAUCAAAACCUCUAGUAACGGCAGCAGCAACCAGUCUGUGAAUAAUAAGAAGUUCAAAGGAUCCAAAAGCAGCAGGCCCCAGUAAGGAAUUCCAGUUCUUGGUUCGUUUUAGACUCUUGAUGAGUGGGAUCAAUAUUGUAAAUAUUUAAUCAAGAAAAAGAGUGAACAAAGCAAGCAACUCUCUACACUACUCUGUAAUCUGUUUCUGCUGCUGAAAAAUAAUAGAACCACAUAUAUUGUAUUUUAUAAUUCAGGAAUAUCAUAAAGAUUGAAAAGCUACCUACUUUUGUUUGGU
This 2574-nucleotide unclassified non-coding RNA is filed under the name Hevea brasiliensis (rubber tree). The record is from RNAcentral. Lineage: Eukaryota; Viridiplantae; Streptophyta; Magnoliopsida; Malpighiales; Euphorbiaceae.